This 718-nucleotide small RNA is filed under the name Histoplasma capsulatum. Its description in RNAcentral is "hypothetical RNA". RNAcentral also lists the same sequence under 1 other name. Lineage: Eukaryota; Fungi; Ascomycota; Eurotiomycetes; Onygenales; Ajellomycetaceae. The record is from RNAcentral.
CACGCCAAAAAGUGUGCAAGAACUGGAAGGAGGCCUUGUUCGUGAGAUAUUAUGGUCCAAUCGGAGUUGCCACGGUUUCUCUAUCUUGAACAUGCCCGCCACCUUUUCCCCAAGCUCGGAGAAGGGGAUACUGAAGAGACUAAUCUCACCCGUGCUCUUUCCCCUAUCGCAUAGUUGUUGGUCCUUUUUUUGAUUGUUUUCCACGGUCUCUCAAUUCCAAUUCAUAACAUCAUCUACAAGAUAGCAGGUAUCAAGCCGAUAGUGGAUAAGGCUGGCCAGGUAGAGAUGACGCCAUCUUCGAGGCGGAUGUCGCUACCCAAAAAAUAAUAUGUCGAACGAGAAGCUAAAUUCAAUCACCUUGUGCAACAGGUCCUCGCGCGGUCCCACACGAGGGCCAAAGCAUCUGGGACCUAUCAAGCCCUCACGAUGGGCGAAGUAGAGACUGCUAAGGAGGAGAGCAUAUCGAGCUCCAGUCAGCUUUCUCGAGGUCAGAGCCUUGGUCACGGAAAACGAGCAUCCAUUUUGAGGAUAGCGGAAGCGAACAAGUGUGAUCGUAAUUAGGGUGCGAGAGGCUAGAGACGGCGGACCAGUGGUUUACGUAGAAGCCAGAGGCAGAGCAGAGGCCGUGUAGAAGAGAUAGACGAUAUGAGAUCGAUGGAUUAGCCAGAAUCGCGAGGUUGACGGCAAGAUAGGAGUGCGGCGGAAGUGAUAGGGAUUG